Molecule: transfer RNA, 91 nt
Filed under: Salmonella phage AR2819
Lineage: Duplodnaviria; Heunggongvirae; Uroviricota; Caudoviricetes; Pantevenvirales; Ackermannviridae
Also listed under: 3 other names
Description: Salmonella phage vB_SenA_AR2819 tRNA-Leu
Rfam family: tRNA
About the family: Transfer RNA (tRNA) molecules are approximately 80 nucleotides in length. Their secondary structure includes four short double-helical elements and three loops (D, anti-codon, and T loops).
Source: RNAcentral
UUGCUUCAUAGCUCGAGUGGUAGAGCGCAGGAAAGUUUCGAGAGAACAAGGUGCCUGAGGUCACUGGUUCGAAUCCAGUUGAAGCAAUCAG